AUAAGGGAUAUUAGCGCCACUUGUUCUUGAUCAGAUAACAUUAUCUCAAAAUGUUUUGCAAGAUAAAAGGAUUGCCAACUAUCCUUAUACCUUCAAUCUCCCCCUUUGGCAUUCCUUCACAAAACACUUCAUUUGUAGGGAAAAUAACCUGCAGAAAACAACUUCAACAACAAGUGAAGAAUCACAGCAACUACAACUGAGUCAUUAGCACACUAACACUGAGAAUUUACUAUUGCAAUAAACAGUCAUAAAACAUUGUAUUGAACAGCCAUAAAAACCAACAAUGUCUUAGAAACAUAAACCAUCAACCAGCAAUUCCUACAACUAAUUCUCCCCCUUUUUGGCAAGGAAUACCAAAGGGAAACAGAGAAUAAAAUAUCCGAGAGGUUUUAAAAGAAAUAGAAACCUACAAUGGAAAACAAGAAACAAGGGAAGUACACACCAUUAGACACCAUAAGACAUCAAAAACAAGAAGAUCACACAGCUUCUUCUGACUCCUCAGCAGAGGCAUCAGAGGACUCCCCAGAACGAGAGCUGGAAGAAGGGGUAGACGAGGCUCCAUCCCCACCAGAAGUGUUAGCAGGAGGCGCAUGUGUCCCCACAGAUUCCUUCAGUUCAUUUCGCAGGGCCUCAAACUGAGCAGUAAAAGAAGCUUGCAGAGUAGCAACAGCAUUUGAAACUUGAUGCUUGAUCUCUUGCUUUAGCAGGGUCUGCUCCAAUGAUUCCACAUACACAUCAGACUAGCUCAUCGAUUUUGCCAAGGAUAACUUGUCGACCGGAGCAGCCUCAUUCUCAGUAGCCAUGACAUCAGUAUCAAGGACAUGUACACCAGCAUCCAAACAUAGUUUGGUGAUGACAGCAGGGAAGACAAGAGAGCUAUUCUCACGAAGAGAUGUGCCCGCACCCCUGAUGGCUUUGUAAAUGAAAUACUCAGCAGGAAAACGAGGCUUGGAAGGGCUAGAAAUCAGAUAUUUAAUCAAGGCAGCCUGUUGGUGAGUGAUUUUGCCUGUGUUGGAGGUGGGAGUCAAAAGAGAGCGAACCACGAAGCCUAAAAGCUUGCACAACUCAGACAUGAAUUGACUGGAAAGAUGAGAAGCAGUGAGCUCUGG
RNAcentral lists this long non-coding RNA (1109 nucleotides) under Fragaria vesca (wild strawberry). Its description in RNAcentral is "long non-coding RNA (FVES_LNC004726)". The record is from RNAcentral. Lineage: Eukaryota; Viridiplantae; Streptophyta; Magnoliopsida; Rosales; Rosaceae.